UACGGGGGGGGCAAGCGUUGUUCGGAAUUACUGGGCGUAAAGGGCUCGUAGGCGGCCAACUAGGUCAUACGUGAAAUCCCUCAGCUUAACUGGGGAACUGCGUGUGAUACUGGAUGGCUUGGAUUUGGGAGAGGGAUGCGGAAUUCCAGGUGUAGCGGUGAAAUGCGUAGAUAUCUGGAGGAACACCGGUGGCGAAGGCGGCAACCUGGACCAAUAUUGACGCUGAGGAGCGAAAGCCAGGGGAGCAAACGGG
This 253-nucleotide ribosomal RNA is filed under the name uncultured bacterium. RNAcentral describes it as "partial 16S ribosomal RNA". It matches the Rfam family "Bacterial small subunit ribosomal RNA", at positions 524 to 776 of the family's 1533-position model. The record is from RNAcentral.